This 496-nucleotide ribosomal RNA is filed under the name uncultured bacterium. Its description in RNAcentral is "bacterial SSU rRNA". It matches the Rfam family "Bacterial small subunit ribosomal RNA", at positions 29 to 523 of the family's 1533-position model. The record is from RNAcentral.
AACUAACGCUGGCGGCGUGCCUAACACAUGCAAGUCGUACGAGAAAGUUGGCUUCGGCCGAUGAGUACAGUGGCGCACGGGUGAGUAACGCGUGGAUAAUCUGCCCUUAAGUGUGGAAUAACGUACCGAAAGGUGCGCUAAUACCGCAUAAUGCCUGGCAACAUAAGUUGUCCGGCCAAAGAAGGCCUCUGCUUGCAAGCUUUCGCUAAAGGAUGAGUCCGCGUACCAUUAGCUAGUUGGUGGGGUAACGGCCUACCAAGGCGACGAUGGUUAGCUGGUCUGAGAGGAUGAUCAGCCACACUGGAACUGAGACACGGUCCAGACUCCUACGGGAGGCAGCAGUGAGGAAUAUUGCGCAAUGGGGGCAACCCUGACGCAGCAACGCCGCGUGAGUGAGGAAGGUUUUCGGACUGUAAAGCUCUGUUGUACGGGAAGAAGGAUGUGACGGUACCGUACGAGAAAGCCCCGGCAAACUACGUGCCAGCAGCCGCGGUAA